Molecule: ribosomal RNA, 465 nt
Filed under: uncultured bacterium
Lineage: Bacteria
Description: partial 16S ribosomal RNA
Rfam family: Bacterial small subunit ribosomal RNA
Source: RNAcentral
GAUGAACGCUGGCGGCGUGCUUAACACAUGCAAGUCGAACGGAAAGGCUCCUGCUUGCCGGGAUACUCGAGUGGCGAACGGGUGAGUAACACGUGGGUGAUCUGCCCUGCACUUCGGGAUAAGCCGGGGAAACUGGGUCUAAUACCGGAUAGGACGAUGGUUUGGAUGCCAUUGUGGAAAGUUUUUCGGGGAGGGAUGAGCUCGCGGCCUAUCAGUUGGUUGGUGGGGUAAUGGCCUACCAAGGCGUGGACGGGUAGCCGGCCGGGGAGGUUGUAGGGCCACAUUGGGACUAGGAUACGGCCCAGACUCCUACGGGAGGCAGCAGUGGGGAUUAUUGCACAAUGGGCGAAAGCUUGAUGCAGCGCCGCCGCGUGGGGGUUGACGGCCUUCGGGUUGUAACCUCCUUUCGCUAGGGACGAAGCGCAAGUGACGGUACCUGGAGAAGAAGCACCGGCUAACUACGUG